CCUUGCGCUAAUAGAUGAGCCUAAGUCAGAUUAGCUAGUUGGUGGGGUAAAGGCCUACCAAGGCGACGAUCAGUAGCUGGUCUGAGAGGACGAUCAGCCACACUGGGACUGAGACACGGCCCAGACUCCUACGGGAGGCAGCAGUGGGGAAUUUUGGACAAUGGGGGAAACCCUGAUCCAGCAAUGCCGCGUGUGCGAAGAAGGCCUUCGGGUUGUAAAGCACUUUUGUCAGGGAAGAAAUCCUUUGGGCUAAUACCCUAGGGGGAUGACGGUACCUGAAGAAUAAGCACCGGCUAACUACGUGCCAGCAGCCGCGGUAAUACGUAGGUGGCAAGCGUUAUCCGGAAUUAUUGGGCGUAAAGCGCGCGUAGGCGGUUUUUUAAGUCUGAUGUGAAAGCCCACGGCUCAACCGUGGAGGGUCAUUGGAAACUGGAAAACUUGAGUGCAGAAGAGGAAAGUGGAAUUCCAUGUGUAGCGGUGAAAUGCGCAGAGAUAUGGAGGAACGCCAGUGGCGAAGGCG
This 520-nucleotide ribosomal RNA is filed under the name Ditylum brightwellii. RNAcentral's name for it is "partial Bacterial small subunit ribosomal RNA". It matches the Rfam family "Bacterial small subunit ribosomal RNA", at positions 211 to 723 of the family's 1533-position model. Lineage: Eukaryota; Bacillariophyta; Thalassiosirophyceae; Lithodesmiales; Lithodesmiaceae. The record is from RNAcentral.